UACCAGACUCCUACGGGAGGCAGCAGUGGGGAAUAUUGCACAAUGGGGGAAACCCUGAUGCAGCGACGCCGCGUGAGUGAAGAAGUAUUUCGGUAUGUAAAGCUCUAUCAGCAGGGAAGAAAAUGACGGUACCUGACUAAGAAGCCCCGGCUAACUACGUGCCAGCAGCCGCGGUAAUACGUAGGGGGCAAGCGUUAUCCGGAUUUACUGGGUGUAAAGGGGGCGCAGACGGCAGCGCAAGCCAGGAGUGAAAGCCCGGGGCCCAACCCCGGGACUGCUCUUGGAACUGCGCGGCUGGAGUGCAGGAGGGGCAGGCGGAAUUCCUGGUGUAGCGGUGAAAUGCGUAGAUAUCAGGAGGAACACCGGCGGCGAAGGCGGCCUGCUGGACCGCGACUGACGUUGAGGCUCGAAAGCGUGGGGAGCGAACAGGAUUAGAUACCCCAGUA
RNAcentral lists this ribosomal RNA (446 nucleotides) under uncultured bacterium. RNAcentral describes it as "bacterial SSU rRNA". It matches the Rfam family "Bacterial small subunit ribosomal RNA", at positions 329 to 792 of the family's 1533-position model. The record is from RNAcentral.